GACGAACGCUGGCGGCGUGCUUAACACAUGCAAGUCGAACGGAAAGGCCCUGCUUUUGUGGGGUGCUCGAGUGGCGAACGGGUGAGUAACACGUGAGUAACCUGCCCGUGACUUUGGGAUAACUUCAGGAAACUGGGGCUAAUACCGGAUAGGAGCUCCUGCUGCAUGGUGGGGGUUGGAAAGUUUCGGCGGUUGGGGAUGGACUCGCGGCUUAUCAGCUUGUUGGUGGGGUAGUGUCUUACCAAGGCUUUGACGGGUAGCCGGCCUGAGAGGGUGACCGGCCACAUUGGGACUGAGAUACGGCCCAGACUCCUACGGGAGGCAGCAGUGGAGAAUAUUGCACAAUGGGCGGAAGCCUGAUGCAGCAACGCCGCGUGCGGGAUGACGGCCUUCGGGUUGUAAACCGCUUUCGCCUGUGACGAAGCGUGAGUGACGGUAAUGGGUAAAGAAGCACCGGCUAACUACGUG
This 468-nucleotide ribosomal RNA is filed under the name uncultured bacterium. Its description in RNAcentral is "partial 16S ribosomal RNA". It matches the Rfam family "Bacterial small subunit ribosomal RNA", at positions 28 to 507 of the family's 1533-position model. The record is from RNAcentral.